UACAGAGGUCUCAACCGUUGUUCGGAUUCAUUGGGCGUAAAGGGUGCGUAGGCGGUCGGGUAAGUCGGAUGUGAAAUCUCAGGGCUCAACCCUGAAACUGCAUUCGAUACUGCCUGGCUAGGGUACUGGAGAGGAGACUGGAAUUUACGGUGUAGCAGUGAAAUGCGUAGAUAUCGUAAGGAAGACCAGUGGCGAAGGCGGCUCACUGGCCCGGUACUGACGCUGAGGUGCGAAAGCGUGGGGAGCAAACAGG
RNAcentral lists this ribosomal RNA (253 nucleotides) under uncultured bacterium. Its description in RNAcentral is "partial 16S ribosomal RNA". It matches the Rfam family "Bacterial small subunit ribosomal RNA", at positions 524 to 776 of the family's 1533-position model. The record is from RNAcentral.